Molecule: long non-coding RNA, 348 nt
Filed under: Mytilus galloprovincialis (Mediterranean mussel)
Lineage: Eukaryota; Metazoa; Mollusca; Bivalvia; Mytilida; Mytilidae
Source: RNAcentral
GUGGUGCGCCUGUCAAAUGCGGAACGUACCCUUUGAUUAUGACCCGUGUAUAUAGCAAAAUCCUAAAUACACCGUUUGGUGGUGCGCCUGUCAAAUGCGGAACGUACAGAUAAGGUAAUAGGUAACAGGGGAAUAUAUUAUUGGUAUCGGUAUCGGAUUCGACCAGGAACUUGUUAAUUAUUGGCAAUAUUAAUUAUGUGGAAAACAAAAGGGUCUGGAGUGGUGUAAUUUUUAAUCUACACCAUUGUUCUAUAUUAGCUAUAUAUAGAGUUGAAUUCUUUGAUUUGUCGUUUUUACCCGAUGACGGCUGACAAAUUGGACCUCGUAAUUUUAGUAUUAUAGAUAAUA